Long non-coding RNA from Gallus gallus (chicken), 343 nucleotides. The record is from Ensembl. NCBI's taxonomy places the organism in Eukaryota, Metazoa, Chordata, Aves, Galliformes, Phasianidae.
GUUCAGUUUUGGGCUCUCACUACAAGAAAGUCAUUGAGGGUCUGGAGUGUGUCCAGAGAAGGGAAACAAAGCUAUUUGUUUUGUUUGAGGGGUCUGAAACACAAGUCUUAUGGGGAGCAGCUGAAGGAACUGGGAGUGUUCAGUCUGGAGGAAAGGAGUCUCAGGGGAAACCUUACCAUUCUCUACAAUUCCCCGAAAAACUGAGAAGUGAUUUAAAGGGAUCUCACUGGACCAUCUGUUUUUUUUUUGAACUACUCCAUUAGAACAAGAAUAAAGAAUUAAGCAUUCUAACUAUUUGCUUCUUGAUAACAAAGUAUCACAUAAAAAAAUUGAUUGAAUCUUG